CGUAGGCGGCUUGUUAAGUGUGAAGUGAAAUCUCUGGGCUCACCCAGAAACUGCUUCGCAUACUGACAGGCUUGAGGGAUGAAGAGGUGAAUGGAAUUCCAGGUGUAGCGGUGAAAUGCGUUGAUAUCUGGAGGAACACCCAUGGCGAAGGCAGUUCACUGGUCAUCUCCUGACGCUGAGGCGCGAAAGCGUGGGUAGCAAACA
RNAcentral lists this ribosomal RNA (204 nucleotides) under uncultured bacterium. RNAcentral describes it as "partial 16S ribosomal RNA". It matches the Rfam family "Bacterial small subunit ribosomal RNA", at positions 570 to 774 of the family's 1533-position model. The record is from RNAcentral.